UACGUAGGGGGCGAGCGUUGUCCGAAGUUACUGGGCGUAAAGCGCGCGUAGGCGGGGGGUUAAGUGAGAGGUGAAAGGCUGGGGCUCAACCUCAUGCAGUGCCUCUCAUACUGGCCUUCUUGAGGGCGGUAGGGAGAAGUGGAAUGGCUGGUGUAGCGGUGAAAUGCGUAGAUAUCUGGAGGAACACCGGUGGCGAAGGCGGCAUCCUGGACCAUGACUGACGCUGAGGAGCGAAAGCCAGGGGAGCAAACGGG
RNAcentral lists this ribosomal RNA (254 nucleotides) under uncultured bacterium. RNAcentral describes it as "partial 16S ribosomal RNA". It matches the Rfam family "Bacterial small subunit ribosomal RNA", at positions 524 to 776 of the family's 1533-position model. The record is from RNAcentral.